This 249-nucleotide long non-coding RNA is filed under the name Chrysolophus pictus (golden pheasant). Its description in RNAcentral is "lncRNA (ENSCPIG00010002418.1)". Lineage: Eukaryota; Metazoa; Chordata; Aves; Galliformes; Phasianidae. The record is from RNAcentral.
GCUUAUAUGAUCUAUUGUUUGUAUAGCAGUGUGUUGGGCAUCUCACACAAUCCUACCAAGGUCUGGAGUGUAAGUUUACUUCUAGCUCUUGUCUGAACCAUGAAGAGUGAAGAAACAGAAGAUAUUUUAUAAGAUGUUCCUACCAUUUCUACUGAAUUUUACGAUUUCAGUACCUCUGGAAGAUUCAGGCAAAAAAAACCCUAAAAUCGUGGACAAAAUUGAAGGUAAAGGUAUAAUUUCCUGCUUAUU